UACGAAGGGGGCUAGCGUUGUUCGGAAUCACUGGGCGUAAAGCGCGUGUAGGCGGCCUCUUCAGUCUGAUGUGAAAGCCCGGGGCUUAACCCCGGAAGUGCAUUGGAUACUGGGAGGCUGGAGUACCGGAGAGGAGGGUGGAAUUCCUGGUGUAGCGGUGAAAUGCGUAGAUAUCAGGAGGAACACCGGUGGCGAAGGCGGCCCUCUGGACGGAUACUGACGCUGAGACGCGACAGCGUGGGGAGCAAACAGG
This 253-nucleotide ribosomal RNA is filed under the name uncultured bacterium. RNAcentral's name for it is "partial 16S ribosomal RNA". It matches the Rfam family "Bacterial small subunit ribosomal RNA", at positions 524 to 776 of the family's 1533-position model. The record is from RNAcentral.